This 251-nucleotide long non-coding RNA is filed under the name Solanum tuberosum (potato). RNAcentral describes it as "long non-coding RNA (STUB_LNC000082)". The record is from RNAcentral. Lineage: Eukaryota; Viridiplantae; Streptophyta; Magnoliopsida; Solanales; Solanaceae.
UUUGAAAAGACCAUAAGUAACUAUUGGUAUAUAUAAGGAGUAAUAUGUAAAUUUUACACUAAAUUAGUUACACUGCUCAUCGCAAAAAAAACUCUAACAUUCAGCAAAGGUUAUAUAGAAAUGUCAACAAGCUGCAAGAAUAUAAGAAAAUUAAUUAGGAAAGCUUUGAUAUGCAUUAACCAAGAAUUCAAAUCUAUUUCAAAACACAGAAAUUUGAGGACAAGAGAUAGUAAAAAAUUGAGAAAUUCUCC